UGCCAGACUCCUACGGGAGGCAGCAGUGAGGAAUAUUGGUCAAUGGGCGGAAGCCUGAACCAGCCAAGUCGCGUGAGGGAAGAAGGCCCUGCGGGUCGCAGACCUCUUUGGACGGGGAGCAAGGCCGCCGACGUGUCGGCGGAAGGAGAGUACCCGUAGAACAAGCAUCGGCUAACUCCGUGCCAGCAGCCGCGGUAAUACGUAGGUGGCGAGCGUUAUCCGGAUUUACUGGGUGUAAAGGGCGUGUAGGCGGGAGUGCAAGUCAGAUGUGAAAACUAUGGGCUCAACCCAUAGCCUGCAUUUGAAACUGUACUUCUUGAGUGCUGGAGAGGCAAUCGGAAUUCCGUGUGUAGCGGUGAAAUGCGUAGAUAUACGGAGGAACACCAGUGGCGAAGGCGGAUUGCUGGACAGUAACUGACGCUGAGGCGCGAAAGCGUGGGGAGCAAACAGGAUUAGAUACCCGCGUAAC
Molecule: ribosomal RNA, 469 nt
Filed under: uncultured bacterium
Lineage: Bacteria
Description: bacterial SSU rRNA
Rfam family: Bacterial small subunit ribosomal RNA
Source: RNAcentral